Molecule: unclassified non-coding RNA, 2707 nt
Filed under: Hevea brasiliensis (rubber tree)
Lineage: Eukaryota; Viridiplantae; Streptophyta; Magnoliopsida; Malpighiales; Euphorbiaceae
Source: RNAcentral
CGGCCCCAAAUUUUUUGGAUGAAGAUUUAGUUGAGUUGAGUUGUACCAUAUAUAUUUACAUGGAAAAUUAUAAUUAAGUCAUAAAGUACAAAAAAACUCACCCCUAAAGUUAUAAAAAAAAUAAAAAAAUAAAAACAAUGCAAAUGGAAGUCAUAACAUCCAUAGUAACUGAAGUCAGUACUAAAGCACAAUAAAUGAGAAACUAUAAAAUCAUCUGUUCAGGCGAAGGUCCUCCAGUGUGCCCUCAAUUGAUGCGAGUCUCUCAUCGACAUCAUCCUCCAGCCGGCCCAGUCUGGAAUCCAUUUGCUCAAUAGUAGUUCGCAGCAGGCGAAAACUGAAGUGGAGACGCUCCUCUAUCUGAUCAAAUCUAUCAUCUAUCCUAGCCAUCAGCAUCUCUAGUGUGAUUGCUCCCUGUUGGGCAGAUGCAACUGGAUGAUCGACGGCUGUUGGUGCUGGAGAUGCCUCAAGUCUGACCUCCUGCUCUGCAUCUUGAGUCCGGUCCUCUACACGUGCCUUAUCAGCCCCACCAUCUGAUCUGUCAACCCCUCUCAUGGGAAUUUUAAUCCCAUUCUCAUCUACUAGACAAUACACACCUCCUUCCCUCACGCACAUUUUCAUCAUAUGUAGUAGUUCUAAAUCUAUUCUGUCGUCCCCAAUUAAAUGCAUUAACCUAUGUGCCUUACCAACAAAUCCAAAAUGCACAGAAAUAGCUGUAAUGAGUCCCCCAACUACUAUUUUCCCAUUCCCUCUGGCUACAUGACUAAACUGGUUGCUAAGCCAGUACCCUGUGUUCACUCGUUGCCCAGUCUCCAUAGCCCAUAAAAAAAAUAACUCAUUUCUAGAGACUACUCCCGUGCUCUCCCCUCUACCAAAAAUAGAAUGGGACAUAAAACGGUGCAGGUAUCUAAAUGCUGGGUUAGUCAGUUUAGUGGAUUUGGAAGCACUAGCGUUAUAGUUAGCAGUGUUGGUCAGCAUGCUCCAAGCAAAUUCCAUAUCAAAAUCCUUUGGAAUAUGUCUAACUCCAUCGUUAGCAAAUCCAAAAAUACCAUUAAAUUCACUCAUAUUUAAUUGGUAGUCCACACCCACGAGUCUGAAUUUAAUAAUCCCGACAUCCUGGACAUUAUUUGGCUGCAAAACACAAGAAAAACUGCUCAAAAAUUCUAGUGUAAGCUCAGGAUAUGUGUGGUGUUUAAGGGAAACAAAUUGUGUCCAACCUAUGCGCUCCACAAAUCUCCCGACUUCCUCACUCAACCCAAGUUGUUCUAGUGUGUAUGUGUCUAUAUAUUUGGUGCACACUACUGGCCUACGAGCUAAUGAAAUAUAUUUUUCUUUAUGUUCUAGGCUUUGGAAUCCCCAAGGGAGUGUAGGUUGUGGUUGGGGUGGGUUUUCAGGCGCAGAUGGAGGUGCUGCACAUCGAGGACGCUGUGUUGGAUGUGGUCGUGCUUGAGAUGAGCAAGAUGAUGAUGCCUCAUGAUCAUGCGCACGACGUUUAGGCGGCAUGGUGACUAUAACAAGCCAAGUUAGCAUAAUUCACAAUCAACACAUAUUGUUAAUGCAGCAAUCUAGGUGGAUGAGGAAUAGAAAAAGGUUAUGACAAGUAAAUUUGAAAAUCAAAAGCUCAAUUUGUGCUGAUGAAUUUUUCCUUGCCACAAAUAAUGCAUAAGAUUACAAUUUACACAACUACAAUAUUAUUAGUGAGUGCAAAUAUCCUUGGGUGACAUUUCAAAAUUACAACUCAUAACAAAGUAAAUUUCAAAAACAAAUCCCAAUUAUUUUCCAGUCAAAUUCUAUGGGUGAGAGUUAAUCAAGGACGGCACUUUACUUGGUGUAUCAUAAGCAAUUACUUUGGAAAGGCAUCAUGACCCAAAAGGAAAUUCAAACUUUCAUAGGUAUUUCUACAACUACACCAGAUGCAAAAUUCCAGCCAUUUGAUACCCAACUCGAUAUCUAGUGGAAAGUGAAAAACAAAUGCAUAUCAAAAUUUCAACUAUUUCUCUAUCAAAUUUUUUCUUUCACACAAUUUCAUGCCCAACUAAAAAGACAAAGUACGAAAUUUUAGCUAAAUUUAUGAUGCCCAGUUGAAUUAAUACGCAAUGGAGUUAAUGCCUACCAGUUCACAAUCAAAACAAGUUAAGAAUAAAACCAAAACCAAAGAAUUUCACCCUGGGUCUUUGAGUUUUCGGAAAGGUUUGGAAAAAUUGACAAUACACUAAGCAUUAAUCGAUGGAAUAUGGAAUUAGAGUCAACAAACCCAAGGAUUUUAUGCACAAGCAAAAGCAAUAUUCUUCACAGCAUGCAAAAACCAAUAACUAAUCUGUAAGCAAACCUAUUGAAGUGGUUGAAAUUUACCUUGUGGAGUGAAAUUUUGACAAAUCUCUUAGAUUGCUAAAAGCACCUAGAAAGGAUUUUAACUCUGCGAAUGGCUGGCGAGAGGAGUGAUGAUAGAAGUCACUCCGACGAAGGAUGUCGCUGUUAGUGUUUCUAUGGAAAGAAAUUGAAGGAAUUUUGUAUGAAUUCAAACGUGUGGGGAAGUGUACCAUUUUUCUAUUUGGCAUUUGGAGGCUCAGUGGGGAACCGAAGAACUGGAAAACCUUUUCGGAUUUAAACACGGGCCAGUCUUCUACACGAAACACGGUGAGCACGUGUUUUGGCUCAGCUCAACAUGGGCCUUACGUGUUUCACACGGGAUUGAAGUUGGAGACGACAG